This 566-nucleotide long non-coding RNA is filed under the name Heterocephalus glaber (naked mole-rat). Its description in RNAcentral is "lncRNA (ENSHGLG00000050613.1)". Lineage: Eukaryota; Metazoa; Chordata; Mammalia; Rodentia; Bathyergidae. The record is from RNAcentral.
CCAAGAGCCAGGCCCACUGAUGUGGUGAUUGGCGCUCUGGGAAGUGGAGUGGAGGAGGCCGAGUCAUCACUCAUCAUCUCUUGUCUCUCUGAGGUGGACCAGAAUGACACAGGCUUCUCUCCCUAACGUGCCACUGUGAGACCACAGGAGAAGGGAAGUGGAGGACUUCUUCCACUCGAUUCUAACCCACGACAGGUUCUCACUGUGUAGCCCUGGUUGGCCUUGAACUCUGGCAAUCCUUCUGCCUCAGCCUCUCACGUGCUUGGAUUACAGGCUUGCUCAUCUGUUACUGCAACACUCUGUCAUCUUUGUCAAAAGUCAGACCAGCAGGCAAGAAUGAGAAUUGAGAAUCACUGCCCUAACAGGGGUAUUUGACCCUGACCAGUAGAAGAGGAGGCUGCUGUUACAUAACUGGGACAAAGAGGAAUACUUACAGAACUCAGGUGAUCCCUGGGGGCACUUUUUUUUUUUUUUUUGGUACCGGAAUCGAACUUGAGAUCGAACUCGGGUCUUUGAGCUAGAACUUAUUUAAAUAUGCUUCUUUUUUUUUUUUUUUUUGGUACCAG